UUCAACCCAGCCCUUUGUGGCUGUUCUGCCUGCCUGGCGAGGCGUUCAAGCUUUGUUGAUGUGGCCUCGGUCCCUCCGAUGGAAGCCAGCCUGAGCUGUGAAGACAACAGCCCCAGGUGCCUAGGCUGGCCACUUCAGCCGAGUGCUCAACUCAAGGACAAUGCUGAGCACCAAGGGACUCAGCGUUCCUCGUGUUCCCGCCAGGCCUGAGCAGUAGGAAAUGACCACGUAAAUUCACUGUAUGGCCACACCUUGCCAACGAGGACUGACUGAAACCCUUCAUUCUCUGAACUCAUGCAUUUGCUUGUGGAGUGACUCACGUGGAAUGUCCUUUUCUUAUAUCAGUAACUAGGCUUCCACCAUUCUGUCAAGACUCUGCUGGAUUGGAUGUGUGAAUCAGUUGAACUGAACUAAAGCAAAUUUAUACUUUGGCAAGAUCAGCUUUCAUACAAGGAGCAGUGGAAGAAAAGUCAAAAAAAGGAAAGCAACUUCCGAAGACUUCUCUAAGGUCAAUACAAAUUUUCAUUCCAAUAUUGUCUCCUGCUGGAUUCACAGACUAUGAAAUGAAAGUCAAUGUUCAAGCUGGUGACCGUAAGGCAGGAAUGCCAGCCUGGAAACAAUGGCAGAGUCCUGCUUUGGGCAGUAUUGUUGCAAAGUCCAGAAAAUAGAUUAAUAUUCAUUACAGAGAUUUCACUGUAAAAAUUGAAGGGAGAGACAUUUAUUUUAACCAGCGCUCCUAGUUUAAUAGCUUACACGUAGGAGGUUCUCAAUAAAUGUCGGUUGAAAUGUU
Molecule: long non-coding RNA, 790 nt
Organism: Chinchilla lanigera (long-tailed chinchilla)
Lineage: Eukaryota; Metazoa; Chordata; Mammalia; Rodentia; Chinchillidae
Exons: 3
Source: RefSeq, a predicted model, not a curated record